GACAGAGGUGCCAAGCGUUAGGCGGAAUCACUGGGCUUAAAGCGUGUGUAGGUGGAUUUGUAAGUACCUUGUGAAAUCCCACGGCUCAACCGUGGAACUGCUCGGUAUACUGCGAAUCUUGAGCCACUUAGGGGCUACCGGAACAAAUGGUGGAGCGGUGAAAUGCGUAGAUAUCAUUUGGAACGCCAAUGGUGAAAACAGGUAGCUGGGAGUGUGCUGACACUGAGACACGAAAGCCAGGGGAGCGAACGGG
RNAcentral lists this ribosomal RNA (253 nucleotides) under uncultured bacterium. RNAcentral describes it as "partial 16S ribosomal RNA". It matches the Rfam family "Bacterial small subunit ribosomal RNA", at positions 524 to 776 of the family's 1533-position model. The record is from RNAcentral.